Molecule: transfer RNA, 60 nt
Filed under: Tetragnatha moua
Lineage: Eukaryota; Metazoa; Arthropoda; Arachnida; Araneae; Tetragnathidae
Description: tRNA-His
Source: RNAcentral
AAACUAAUAAAUUAGUUUAAUCAAAACAACAAUCUGUGGAAUUGUAUAUUCUAUAUAAAA